RNAcentral lists this long non-coding RNA (964 nucleotides) under Fukomys damarensis (Damara mole-rat). Its description in RNAcentral is "lncRNA (ENSFDAG00000032728.1)". Lineage: Eukaryota; Metazoa; Chordata; Mammalia; Rodentia; Bathyergidae. The record is from RNAcentral.
CACUUUGCUGCAGGAAAUCUACUUUUGCUCUGUGCUGCAAUUUCUGACUCCUCUUUGUUCUACAUUGGGAAGAGAGACAAACUUGGGAAAGUCUGAGGGUGAGCUGGUGGCCCCAGAUCCAAUGUAACACCUUGAUAAAUGCCAGUCUAGCAGAACACAGGUCAAAAGAGUACAGGGGUCACUAUGAAGUUAAAGGAAAUGACAACAUUAAACAUCAUAGAAUGCAAGGAACAUUUUCUUGGCUAUCAGUGUGCGUGACAGUGUACCAAUUAUGGAGGAAUAAAAAAGUAAUAUGAAUUUGCUCAUGUCCAAUCUAAUCUAUUAGGAGGCACAGGUUAUGGGAGACAGGAGAUAAUGAACAGUCAGAUCAGAGAGAGACUUCAAGUCUAUGCCAAAGUAUUGGUCUUAACCAAAUUUUGAUUAAGGUUGUGCCUUAGAGGGACCACAAUGUGCAGGAUGGACUGGGGGAGAAGCAGGUUGGAAGUGUCCAGAGCAGUGAGGAAGCUUCCACAAUCAUCUUAGCAAAAGGCACUGGAAGGAAAGCGUUCGGAGAUGAACAGCAGACUUUCUAAAGGAAUAAGGUUACUAGAAGAAAUGUCAACCAGCUAUGCAGCACGAAUCUGAUGUUGGCAGCCUGGAUGGCCAGAAGACUCAGCGAAGUGGGACGCCACAGGAUGCCCUGACAUGAACUGUACGUUACCAAGGGGAGGCAAAGUCAGUAGUACAUUAUGGAGUACAUGGGCUUCCAGGGAUUUUGCUGUCGGAGUAGAAGAAAGUGUGCAACAGAGACCCAGUGAGGAGACACAGACGCCAGAAGUGAAGAACUUCAGGAUGUAAUUCAAGUGUGUUGACAUGAAAGCGUGAGAGUCCAGUUGUCCAUGUAGCCAGGAUUCAAAACCACCACCAGCACCACAUCAAAAGGGCUGGGAUGCAGCCGAGUGUGGAGUGCUUGCUAGCAUGUGAG